GCCGCUUUAGCUCAGUCGGCCAGAGCAUCCGGCUCAUAACCGGACGUGCGCAGGUUCGAGCCCUGCAAGCGGCACCA
Molecule: transfer RNA, 77 nt
Filed under: Faecalibacterium duncaniae
Lineage: Bacteria; Bacillati; Bacillota; Clostridia; Eubacteriales; Oscillospiraceae
Also listed under: 1 other name
Description: tRNA-Ile
Rfam family: tRNA
About the family: Transfer RNA (tRNA) molecules are approximately 80 nucleotides in length.
Source: RNAcentral